RNAcentral lists this ribosomal RNA (489 nucleotides) under uncultured bacterium. RNAcentral describes it as "partial 16S ribosomal RNA". It matches the Rfam family "Bacterial small subunit ribosomal RNA", at positions 29 to 506 of the family's 1533-position model. The record is from RNAcentral.
AAUGAACGCUGGCGGCAUGCCUUACACAUGCAAGUCGAACGGCAGCAUGACCUAGCUUGCUAGGUUGAUGGCGAGUGGCGAACGGGUGAGUAAUGCAUCGGAACGUGCCUUUUAGUGGGGGAUAACGUAGCGAAAGUUACGCUAAUACCGCAUAUUCUCUGAGGAGGAAAGCAGGGGACCUUCGGGCCUUGCGCUAGAAGAGCGGCCGAUGUCGGAUUAGCUAGUUGGUGAGGUAAAGGCUCACCAAGGCAACGAUCCGUAGCGGGUCUGAGAGGAUGAUCCGCCACACUGGGACUGAGACACGGCCCAGACUCCUACGGGAGGCAGCAGUGGGGAAUUUUGGACAGUGGGCGCAAGCCUGAUCCAGCCAUGCCGCGUGAGUGAAGAAGGCCUUCGGGUUGUAAAGCUCUUUCGGCUGGGAAGAAAUCGCACCCUCUAAUACAGGGUGUGGAUGACGGUACCAGCAUAAGAAGCACCGGCUAACUACGU